AUACGGAGGGCGCAAGCGUUGUUCGGAAUCAUUGGGCGUAAAGCGCGUGUAGGUGGCUUGGAAAGUUGGGUGUGAAAGCCCGGGGCCCAACCCCGGAAUUGCACUCAAAACUCCCUCGCUAGAGUCCCGGAGAGGAAGGCGGAAUUCCCGGUGUAGAGGUGAAAUUCGUAGAUAUCGGGAGGAACACCAGUGGCGAAGGCGGCCUUCUGGACGGUGACUGACACUGAGACGCGAAAGCGUGGGGAGCAAACAGGAUUAGAUACCCUGGUAGUCC
RNAcentral lists this ribosomal RNA (274 nucleotides) under uncultured bacterium. Its description in RNAcentral is "partial 16S ribosomal RNA". It matches the Rfam family "Bacterial small subunit ribosomal RNA", at positions 523 to 796 of the family's 1533-position model. The record is from RNAcentral.